GGAAGGUCCCCCACAUUGGAACUGAGACACGGUCCAAACUCCUACGGGAGGCAGCAGUGAGGAAUAUUGGUCAAUGGACGAGAGUCUGAACCAGCCAAGUAGCGUGCAGGAUGACGGCCCUAUGGGUUGUAAACUGCUUUUAUAAGGGAAUAAAGUGAGCCUCGUGAGGCUUUUUGCAUGUACCUUAUGAAUAAGGACCGGCUAAUUCCGUGCCAGCAGCCGCGGUAAUACGGAAGGUCCGGGCGUUAUCCGGAUUUAUUGGGUUUAAAGGGAGCGUAGGCCGGAGAUUAAGCGUGUUGUGAAAUGUAGAUGCUCAACAUCUGCACUGCAGCGCGAACUGGUUUCCUUGAGUACGCACAAAGUGGGCGGAAUUCGUGGUGUAGCGGUGAAAUGCUUAGAUAUCACGAAGAACUCCGAUUGCGAAGGCAGCUCACUGGAGCGCAACUGACGCUGAAGCUCGAAAGUGCGGGUAUCGAACAGGAUUAGAUACCCUGGUAGUCCGCACGGUAAACGAUGGAUGCCCGCUGUUGGUCUGAAUAGGUCAGCGGCCAAGCGAAAGCAUUAAGCAUCCCACCUGGGGAGUA
RNAcentral lists this ribosomal RNA (584 nucleotides) under uncultured bacterium. RNAcentral's name for it is "bacterial SSU rRNA". It matches the Rfam family "Bacterial small subunit ribosomal RNA", at positions 298 to 882 of the family's 1533-position model. The record is from RNAcentral.